Molecule: ribosomal RNA, 705 nt
Filed under: Hylocurus flaglerensis
Lineage: Eukaryota; Metazoa; Arthropoda; Insecta; Coleoptera; Curculionidae
Description: partial large subunit ribosomal RNA
Rfam family: Eukaryotic large subunit ribosomal RNA
Source: RNAcentral
UGAAACCGUUUAGGGGUAAACCUGAGAAACCCGAAAGGUCGAAGGGAGAAAUUCAUUCGCGUUUCGUGGCAGGAGACGGACGGUCGAGCGACGGGUAGUAUAUUAAUACGCUAUCUCGCCUCUUCCGUUCGUUCGAACCGGCUGCGAACGCGUGCACUUUUCUCCUGGUAGGACGUCGCGAUCCGUUGGGUGUCGGUCUACGGCUCGCGGUGGAGCCCGUUCGUCGCGAUUCGCGUCGGACGGACCCGCGUUGUCCCGGCCGACUCGCUCGACGGUAUACGAAUGGUUCGAGGCCGCUCUUUCGAGAGCGUCCGACCGGCGACAAGUGCGCCGGAUGCGUCGACGACCGGACCUAGUGCCGAUCGCGACCUCCGGUGGCUGCUGGUCGUCGAGUUCUCGGACAGACCUCGCUCUCUUUUUAGAGAACCGAUCUGCGACGCUAUAGCUUUGGGUACUUUCAGGACCCGUCUUGUAACACGGACCAAGGAGUCUAGCAUGUGCGCGAGUCAUUGGGAAUCGCUAAACCUAAAGGCGCAAUGAAAGUAAAAGUCUUCCUAGCGAGGACCGAGGGAAGACGAGCGGUUUGCCCUUAAAAGCGGCCGCUCCGCACUCCCGGGGCGUCUCAUUCUCAUUGCGAGAAGAGGCGCACCAAGAGCGUACACGCUGGGACCCGAAAGAUGGUGAACUAUGCCUGGUCAGGACGAA